RNAcentral lists this ribosomal RNA (448 nucleotides) under uncultured bacterium. RNAcentral's name for it is "partial 16S ribosomal RNA". It matches the Rfam family "Bacterial small subunit ribosomal RNA", at positions 329 to 793 of the family's 1533-position model. The record is from RNAcentral.
AUCCAGACUCCUACGGGAGGCAGCAGUGGGGGAUAUUGCACAAUGGGGGGAACCCUGAUGCAGCGACGCCGCGUGGGUGAAGGAGCGUUUCGGCGCGUAAAGCCCUAUCGGCAGGGAAGAAGGAGGACGGUACCUGACUAAGAAGCCCCGGCUAACUACGUGCCAGCAGCCGCGGUAAUACGUAGGGGGCAAGCGUUAUCCGGAUUUACUGGGUGUAAAGGGGGCGCAGACGGCGCGCCAAGUCUGAUGUGAAACCCCGGGGCUCAACCCCGGGCAUGCAUUGGAAACUGGCGGGCUGGAGUGCCGGAGAGGUAAGCGGAAUUCCUAGUGUAGCGGUGAAAUGCGUAGAUAUUAGGAGGAACACCAGUGGCGAAGGCGGCUUACUGGACGGCAACUGACGCUGAGGCUCGAAAGCGUGGGGAGCAAACAAGAUUAGAUACCCUUGUAC